This is a long non-coding RNA of Bos taurus (domestic cattle), 462 nucleotides long. Lineage: Eukaryota; Metazoa; Chordata; Mammalia; Artiodactyla; Bovidae. The record is from Ensembl.
GUGGAUUCUUAACCACUGGGCCACCAAGGAAGCCCAGAUGUUUCCUUUCCAUAGUACAAUCUUCACCAUGAAAUGGUAUUUGAGACCAGUCCUGUCCGUUUCCGUCAUUUGGUUUAACGUGAAGGCGCUCCAUGUUACUGGGACUCGCCUUACCCAUCUGGUCUGUCCGGCUCCAACUCUCAACACACAGCCAGCACAGAAUUAAAAACCAAGCAAAGCUGAUUUUGAUCACUGAACUUUGAUUUUGUAAGACGUUAACCUUAGACAUUGACAAAUUCUCCAUACCAUUUUGACAACUUUUCUUUGAAGUCUAUAAAGUUUUUUAAAAAUAAAACAUUUUGGAAAGUCAUCAGAAACCUUCCAUUUUGCCUUCAAUACAGUUGAUGCCUUGAAGUUCACUGAUAAUUCACUUUAAUGGAAAUAAAUAGCCUGAAACUCAUAAAUAAUUCACUUUCACUUUGA